Molecule: ribosomal RNA, 345 nt
Filed under: uncultured eukaryote
Lineage: Eukaryota
Description: SSU rRNA
Rfam family: Eukaryotic small subunit ribosomal RNA
Source: RNAcentral
GAAGCGUAUAUUAAAGUUGUUGCAGUUAAAAAGCUCGUAGUUGAAACUUGGGCCUGGCUGGCCGGUCCGCCUCACCGCGUGCACUGGUCCGGCCGGGCCUUUCCUCCUGGGGAUCCGCAUGCCCUUUACUGGGUGUGUUGGGGAACCAGGACUUUUACUUUGAAAAAAUUAGAGUGUUCAAAGCAGGCCUUUGCUCGAAUACAUUAGCAUGGAAUAAUAAAAUAGGUUGGCUUUCCUAUUUUGUUGGUUUCUAGGGGAGCCAAAAUGAUUAAUAGGGUCAGUCGGGGGCAUCAGUAUUCAAUUGUCAGAGGUGAAAUUCUUGGAUUUAUUGAAGACUAACUACUG